This 2776-nucleotide non-coding RNA is filed under the name Pan troglodytes (chimpanzee). The record is from RNAcentral. Lineage: Eukaryota; Metazoa; Chordata; Mammalia; Primates; Hominidae.
CUUCUCGCGCGUGAGCGCGCCCUAUCGGCUCCCGGCGCGUCAACAUUCCGCGGGCCAGGCCUUGGGGUGCGUCUGAGGAGGGGGAUGUCUGUGGCCUCUCCGCCCACACUUCCUCCACCCACCGCCCGCAGCGCCCCAGAAGGACCUAUUACUCGUUUGGCUUCUGAAGGCCGAAGCCAGGCUCUGGCGGGGAUAGAACCCUGAAGGGCCUGCGCCAGCUCCAACUUAGGGCCCUGUGCGUCGUUGCGACUGCCGCUACCACCCCAUCACGCGGCACCCCCGCCCCAACUCCGCCCGGGUCUCUGAAGAGGCAAUAGGCCUUUCAUCUCCGGGGAAAGUCUCACCUUGGCCCUCAGACACCCGCCAAGAGGGGUCGGAAGGACAGAAUUAGCAUACAGAAGAGGGGCUAGAGCACUUUGCAGGCUCUGGCCCCAGGAAUCCUUGACAGGAAGCGUGGGGUUGCUGCCCAGCCUCCCACGCAGUGUAAUAUAUUGAAGCCGGGCCCCUUUGAGGGAAUGCGACUUCCUUGGGCCGAGGGGGAAAGGGUAAAAGUUAAUUUUCAUAAAGUGCUAUGCAAGGGCUAAAUGUGAAAUUAUAAAAUGUCCUUUAAGACAGUCUUCUUGAUAUCGUAUCAAGUUUGACAAGAUUUUUGGUGCACGGUAACGCUUUUGCUCGCUUUCUACGCUGUCACGUCUCCAUCCUGCAACACUGAAUACGUAGAUGGAACGUGGAUCAGCUAAUAACUGCAGCAAAAUAAAAACUGCAUUUAUCAUCUUUAUCAUUAUUUAAAUAGACCUCCGAGAAGUCAAACUGUGAUUUAGGAAAACUUAAUCAUUGCCUCAACCUAUUUAACUAUUUUGUUUUGAAGUUACUUUACAAAUAUACCACAAAAUCCCUCUUUGUUAGGCAGUGGUAGACUUUUAAACUCACUUGUUAGAUAACCUUUCCCAGAAGCAUAUCUAGUUGAGCCUGCAAGGCAAGUAGGACUAAGGUAUAAUUACUCCCAUUUUACAGAUGAAAAUUCAGUUAUCAAAAUGUAAGUCAGUUGUUAAGCGUUGUGAGUAGUCUAUCACUGAUAAAGGGAAAACUCUAAGGUCUAUUAUUGCCUGCUUUAUUCACUAAACCAGAAAUCUCUCAAUUGUUUUUUUCCAAGUAUCUUUUGCUGCCUCUUAUGUAUUGUAGGCAGUGCCUGAUGGCUGAGAAGAAUCGCAGAGGACUAGAAAAGGUUUGAGUCUGAAAUUAUCUGGCACAGAGGAUUAGAGCUCAGAAAUAAGUGAUUGCGAAACAGUUCAACUUCCCUGUUAAUGACAACAACAACAACAGCAACACGCUUAUUAAUUCCUAGCUGGAGCAUCAAGCUUAUGAAGAUUUCCAAGUAAGACUUUAUUGUUGACCCUUGUUGAAGAGAACUCUACUUGGCUUCUUUCCUGGCUUUCCUAAAUUGUUCACAUACAAGAUAAACUACCGUCAUUCAGACUUACAGAAGUGAGAAGACAAGCUGAACCAAAUGUAAAAUGGUAGCAAUUUACAGAUGUCAGAACUAACAUGUGGAUGAACUUAGAGAUGGAGAAGAAAGCUGGGCUUUUCCAAAGAGUGGAUCUAUCUGAACUGGAUAGCACUAUUGAACUUUGUUGCAUAUUUUGUGGUAGCUCUAAAACUCCUCUGCUUGCUUACAUACAACCAGACACCAGUGCCUUCUGAAGCUAAUCCAGGCCAUUUUUAUAACCUAAUGCAGUAGCACUUUGCAAUUAGAUGAAGAAGAUCGGUGGGAUUUCUUUCUGUGGUGAUUAAAAUGUGUCAGGGGAAGAAAUCAAGACAAUACUCCAAGUGAAAAAUAUAAAGUCAGUUAUUUCUUUAAUAUUUUGUGUUAUAGUAAUCAUUUUUAUAUUUUGAGCAUACUUUUUCUUGUCUACUUAAAUACUCAAAAUUAAUUAUAAAAUGUAAAUGUAAGCACAAUGAGAUACCAUCUCAUCCCAGUUAAAAUGGCUUUUAUCAAAAAGAUAGGGAAUAAUGAAUACUGGUGGAAGGAUGUGGAGAAUGGGGAACCCUCGUACACUGUCAGUGAGAAUGUAAAUUAGUACAGCCACUAUGGAAAACUGUAUGGAAGUGCCUCCGAAAACAAAGUAGAACUACCAUGUGAUCCAGCAAUUACACUAGUGGGUAUAUAUUCAAAAGAAAGGAAAUCAACAUAUCAAAGAGAUAGCUGCAUUCUCAUGUUUAUUGAAGUCCUGUUGAAAUAGCCAAAAUAUGGAAUCAACCUAAGUGCCCAUCAGUGGAUGAAUGGUUAAAGAAAAUGUGAUUGAUAUGCAAUGGAAUAUUAUUCAGCCAUAAAAAAGAAUGAAAUCCUGGCGGGGCACAGUGGCUCAUGCAAGUAAUCCCAGCACUGACCUCAUGAAGACAGAGAGUAGAUUGGUGGUUACCAGAGGUUGAGAAGGGGAGAGGAGAGGAGGGAUGAAGAGAGGUUGAUUGAUGGAUACAAAUAUACAGUUUGAUAAUGAUAAAUCAGUAGGGUGACUAUAGUUUAUAAUAACCUAUUGUAUGGUUCAAAAUAGCUAAAAGAGAAUAAUUGAAAUAACGUAAGACAAAAAUUUAAGAUGAUAGAUAUCCCAAUUACACUGAUUUGAUCUUUACAAAUUAUAUGAAUGUAUUAAAUUAUUACAUGUAUCCCCAAAAUAUGUACAAGUAUUUUGUAUCAAUAAAAAAUAAAAUUUAAGAUAAAGUAAAUGUAAUGAUUAGCUUAUAUUUCCUAGAUUGGAAAUAAAUAUUUGCUUAAGUA